AGAGCGAACGCUGGCGGCAGGCUUAACACAUGCAAGUCGAGCGGGCGUAGCAAUACGUCAGCGGCAGACGGGUGAGUAACGCGUGGGAACAUACCUUUUGGUUCGGAACAACCCAGGGAAACUUGGGCUAAUACCGGAUAAGCCCUUACGGGGAAAGAUUUAUCGCCGAAAGAUUGGCCCGCGUCUGAUUAGCUAGUUGGUGAGGUAACGGCUCACCAAGGCGACGAUCAGUAGCUGGUCUGAGAGGAUGAUCAGCCACAUUGGGACUGAGACACGGCCCAAACUCCUACGGGAGGCAGCAGUGGGGAAUAUUGGACAAUGGGCGCAAGCCUGAUCCAGCCAUGCCGCGUGAGUGAUGAAGGCCCUAGGGUUGUAAAAGCUCUUUUGUGCGGGAAGAUAAUGACGGUACCGCAAGAAUAAGCCCGGCUAACUUCGCGCCAGCAGCCGC
This 448-nucleotide ribosomal RNA is filed under the name uncultured bacterium. RNAcentral's name for it is "SSU rRNA". It matches the Rfam family "Bacterial small subunit ribosomal RNA", at positions 26 to 518 of the family's 1533-position model. The record is from RNAcentral.